AUGGACCAUUCCAUCCCUUUUUCCCGUGCAUAUGCAUCGGACUCGGAUGACAAUGGUCCCGAUGAACAAGUUGAUGCGGAGGGGUUCACGGUGAAGGAGGCCGAAGCUUUCGAGAAGGUAUUUGGUCGGGAUCAUCGGACUACAUUGUUCAAGGAUGUUAGUCUCACGGAUGAAGCCGUGGUAGAUGGUGGCCAAUGUGUAGCUCUUGGGGUUAGGCCAAGCUCUCAC
This 228-nucleotide ribosomal RNA is filed under the name Triticum aestivum (bread wheat). RNAcentral describes it as "partial small subunit ribosomal RNA". The record is from RNAcentral. Lineage: Eukaryota; Viridiplantae; Streptophyta; Magnoliopsida; Poales; Poaceae.